Long non-coding RNA from Herpailurus yagouaroundi (jaguarundi), 1206 nucleotides. RefSeq lists it as uncharacterized. The transcript is spliced from 2 exons. The record is from RefSeq and is a predicted model, not a curated record. Lineage: Eukaryota; Metazoa; Chordata; Mammalia; Carnivora; Felidae.
CAAACCCAUGAAACCUGAGAUCAUGAACUGAGCUGAAGUCAGAUGCUCAACCGACUGAACCACCCAGGCGCCCCUUGACCUUGCAUUUCUGAUCUGAUCUUAGGUGUCUGAACUUUUCUCCCCCCCUUCUCAUCUGUAAGCCUACACUCUAGAUCCCACAUGGGCCCUCCACAUCCCACUCUCACACCCCCUGCCUUUGCUCACCUCAUUCUCCCACCUCCAUGAGCCCCCACCGUCCCUUCUGGACUCAGCUCCUCAAGGACCCAGUGACCAGGCUGCUCAGCCACUCAGAGACCUUUCCCACCUGCUUACUGGUUCCAGCCUGUAUGUCUCCUCUCCCUGCAGUUUGUCGGUUUCUGGAGCCAGCGCUUGUGUGGUCUUCAUUCGUCUUCGUCCCCAGCAUGGAGGUCAGAGCCCUGCACUUGUCAGGUUCUCAGGAAAUGUUUGUCACCUCAACUUUUGCUGCAGAGGCUGAGCUGGCUUCUUAACCCCCUCCAGGACUUGCAGCCUUGGCCCUAUGACCCCAGUGGGGGCUUCUCCCGCAUGGAUCCCCCCAAGACUGAGCAGGCUCUGGGCAGGUGCCGAGAGAACUCUUUGGACUCUCCAGAUUUCCAUCCCGGGUCAUGUCGGGAACUAUACUUAUGUGACUGUGCCCUGUGUUCAGUUUGGCUCAUGAGACAGGGAAGGUUCCCUCUUGAGACUUGACUUUUGCAGCCAAAUUCCCCUCAAUGUGUUUUCAAACCUAAGCAGAUGCCAGUUUUAAGAACUAAAGCAAGGUCGUCAGGGAAACAGGGCUUCCAGGAGUAACGGAAGUGCUGAGUCUUCUCUGUGCAGAUGAUCUGCAGUGCCGAUCAAGUCCCGGGGACUGGUGACGGUGGCCCUGCAGGCCCUGUCCCCUGACUCUUCCCAAGCUCCCCUCUGCCGCAUUUCCAUGUCACCCAAUGCAGAGGCAGCAGAAGGACAACAGUGUGUGCUGAGGGGACACGUUUGCCCGGCUGUCAAACAGCUGUCACAUCUGUCCUUGGGAAUGGACCUUCUGGGAGCCCAAGCCGUCAUUCCUGCUGACGCCACACAUGGGCCAGCUUUGCUGGUUCAAAGGCCUUCAAUUCCCAGUCCCAGUUUCCUGCCACCUUGACUGACUCUGGUCACGAUGAAUGUGGAUCUACAUUUAUUUAAAAAAUAAACAAAUGACUUACCGUGUUUUGA